GAAUUUUCCUAAAGUUUUCUUUAGUUGAGAGAAAACCGUCGCUUGGUUAACGUCGCUUUUUUUUAGUAAGAAAAAAAUCUUAGUUUUUUCCCAAAACGAAUUUCUUUUAGCAACAACGAUCAAAGUUCUUUUAAUUUUCUAAACGUUUAAUUUUAAAAAAAUUAAAAUAAUAACAAACUGCUAAAAAGUUAAGCGAUUGGACGAAAUUUGAGCCAAUUUAACGAUCGAUAUUUAGGAGAGCUUUAAUAAGAAAUUCUUGUUGGAGAUCUGUUAAAUUUAAAUUCGAACCAAAAAUUCAAAAAAAUAAAAAUCCAAAAAUUUAUUUCGGAAUAUUUUUAUUCGAACAACAGCCAUCUUCGCAUCUUUAAUAUUUUCGUCGUUGUCGUCAAACAGGCGUUUUAUAUAUUUAAUAAUAAAAAUUAAUAUAUAAAACAACAGCAACAACAACAAAAUUAACAAAUUUCGUCGAAAUCUAAAUCGAAAACAUUUCAAGUUAACUACUAAUUAAAAAAU
Lucilia sericata (common green bottle fly) is the source of this 513-nucleotide long non-coding RNA. RefSeq lists it as uncharacterized. The transcript has 5 exons. Lineage: Eukaryota; Metazoa; Arthropoda; Insecta; Diptera; Calliphoridae. The record is from RefSeq and is a predicted model, not a curated record.